UGGAUAGCUUAAGGUGGAGAAACAAGUGAACAUCCAUGGAUACCAGCUAAGGGAAUGUAAUGGAAGAUAAUCCAUGGAUACCAGCUAAGGGAAUGUAAUGGAAGAUAAAUUCUACACAGUUUGCCAUGGAUUUUGAGUCAUGUCCUAAGCCACGUAUACUCUAUGUGCCCCCUGGCUUUCUGUUGGGCCUUGUAUAUUUGGUUCCUGGGAAGUACCGAGUUAGAAGAAUACUGUGCUAAGUGCUUACCUAGCAUAUAUUACCAGCCAUCCUCGUUAAGUGAAGUGCCAUUUGGAACACUAUUUUGAGCCAUAAUACACUUUUACCUAUGACAAUGACUUGUUUCUCCUAGUCACAACUCUCCAAUCUUUAGCAUGAACUAACCUUAUUAGACACUCAACUUUAACUGUACUUCCAAGUUUUUGAAGUUGAUUCGAGAAGUUCACUCUCUCCAAUCCAGCAUGUAGGUUUCUUUUAGAGUUGGGCACAGGAUUAAUGGUGUAGGUAGCAAUGUUACCAUUUAUUUGUUUCUACAAUAAAUACAAGUGCUAGAGUUUCUUUUGGCAGCACAAUCAAUACUAGAGUUAUUACUAAUACUUGAUGAAACUAAUGAGGCGCUAAAUAAGCACACCAUGAGCAGAAAUGUGAUGUACUACAGUACCAGGCCUUAUUUGUGAGUUGAAAAGGCUAAACCACAAUUUUCCGUAUUUGUCAUUCAUUGCUGCUAAAUCUCGUUAGACGAAAUUAUCAGUUCCUCUAUAUCAGCAAUCCCAGCCUUCAAGUUCUAAACCUUAUCUAGUCUAGAUUAAAUAAAUAUCACAUGUCACAAAGUAAAGCGAAGCAAUUGGUCUUUCCUUGUGCUUUCUAUUGGAACAGUCUCUUUCUAUCUGUGUUCCCGUAUUAUUCAGUUGCCACAUUUCGGUUCUUUAAUUGUCAACAAGUCCAAGUUUUUGCAGCCACUUUGAUGCAUUUGGAUUUAGCAAUUUCAGUUAUUACGUACACGAGUCUUUCUUGAUUAUAUUGCUUUCAAUAUGGUUAUCAUAUCUACUCACAGUCAUCUCCCUUUUGCUGAAUAGAAUUGAGAAGCUGAAGCGUGGUUUUGGUAUGCACGUCCCUGAAGAGUUUAGGUAGCUGGAUAUAAUGCGGGGUUCCUUCAUUUCUAAUAAUCAGUUUAAUCACCUCCCUCGGAGCUACCUAUUGGAGGGCAAGUUUGUGAUUUCUACUAAACUUGACAUGGACGCUUUUUAAGUAGUACUUGGAGUGUUGGUGAGCAGCAGAUGUAGCACUCAAGCUGUGAUCACAUGAUCUUGUGGUUGUACUAUUGAUGACCUUGGUCCUACUAAUUUAGUUUAUUUGCUGAAAGCUAUGUUUGGAAAUGAUGCAAUCUGCGAGGCAACACUAAUUUCUGUGCAGCCUGUACUUAUGAGUGUUAUUGUCUUGAUGUAUUUUUCUCACCACGGGAAGCCUUAGGUAUACGUACAAUUAUCGCCUUGUAAUAUGUUCGUAGUGCUAUACUUCUCUAAUAUAUUUAUAUAUGUAAAUAUAUAUGUUACUCUUGUAUCAUCUCUUCCUAGUAUCAUAUGGUGCUUUGCUUCCGUGAGCUUGUGUAUUAGAAGUUGUUAAAUAUUGUGUAUUAGAAGUUGUUAAAUAUUCAUUCGUGGCGGCCAUGUCUGCACCCAAGCUCAAAUGAGCUAUGUUGAACCGUAAAAUCAGAAAUAUAUAUAAAAAGAUCUAGUUUCAUUAUGGUAAACUAUGACAAAUGUUCUAAGAGUUUGCAAUAUUUCAUCACAAAAUCACAUUUGGAGUUGUAGCGAAAAAACAAAAUUGAUACUCUAAAAAUGCUAUUAUCGAAAGCAUUUUAAAGCACUAAUUUUGUUUUUUCGUCAUCACUUUAAUAAAUGUGUUUUAGUGAUGAAAUUUUGAAACCUUUUAGAACAUUUAUCAUAAACAAGUUCAGCUUUUUUGAAAUAUUUUAAAUAUUUUCGGAGUUGUUAAUCUCGGCUUAUUUGAGCUGUGGUGUAGAAAGGCAUUUUUGACACGCUUGUUAUCUAUAUGACCAAAUCCUAACUGAGCUUGCUCGUAGUUGCACAAAUUUGACAUUGCUUGUGGCACUCUGUGUUCAUAUCUUCGCUCUGUUGUUCGUCAUGGAAAAAAAAUUAGGGCAAGCGUGUGAAGGCUAUGAAAAGCCACUUUGGAUUUGCAGGAAGUUUUGCGGUGGAUAAUGAAGGCUUAAGUGGUGGCAUUGGUCUUUUCUGGUCCAAAGAUGUUGAUGUGGAACUAUUUUUUUAGUACCGACCACAUUGAUGUUGUGGUGUGGAACAAGGAUCAUCUUUCUCGUGAAUGGUGUUUUACGAGUUUCUAUGGAGCUUCGAAAGUCAAUGCUAAUCUCCGUUAGAGCGGUGUGGAGGCACAAUGCUCCCCAAGAUGCCACUAAGGCCACCGUAAUAUCCUCACGCCCUCGCAGAAUGCAAGAUGCCGUGAUUCCACUAAGGGACCCUUGAGGGCGGUCACCGAACCCGUACAAAUGGCAAACCUUGGGGGCGGUCACCGAACCCGUACACGUGGCAACCCUUGGGGGCGGUUACCGGUACCCGUACAAAUUGCUCGGGGCUAUCUCCACAACCUAAUUGGAGGCCCCGACGCUUGCCUGGAGCUUCACACCACAAUGAUUGAGCUCCGAGACACCACCAAGCUUCUAGUAUGCCAAAGCAUCCACGAAGAACAAUAUCUAGGGUACUAAGUACCAAAGGUAGUAAGCUUCUCAACUUCUCACUUCCACGUAUCACCGUGGAGAACUCAAACUGAUGCAACUAACGCAAUGGCAAGAACACACAAAGUGGUCAAGUCCCUCACACUCAAAUCCCUCCACAACAACAAAAGCUAUGGAGAAAUAUGAGAGGAAGAACAAGGAGCUCACAAAGAACUCCAAGAUCUAGAUCCAAGGGGUUCCCCUCACAUAGAGGAGAAAGUGAUUGGUGGAGAUGUGGAUCUAGAUCUCCUCUCUCUUUUCCCUCAAGAACAAGCAAGAAUCAUUGGAGGGAUUGAGAGUUAGCAAGCUCUAAGAAUGUCAACAAUGGAGGUAGAACAAGAGCUCAACGGAUAGAUGAGGCCAAGGGGGAAGAAGACCCCCUUUAUAUAGUGGGGGAAGGAAUCAGACCGUUACCCCCACUAUCUGCCCGAGCUCCAGCGGUACUACCGCCAACUAGCGGUACUACCGCUGGCCCGAGCGGUACUACCGCUGGGCCCCUGGUAGUGCAAAGGCACUACCACCGCCAAGAAAGUCUUCGCAAAAAGGUCCGUCCACGAACAACCGCUAGGCAAGCGGCACUAACCUCCUGGAGCGGUACUACCGCUGACCAGUGGCGAUACUACCGCCAGCCAGCGGUACUACCGCUAGGGCCAGUGGUACUACCGCCAACUCUAGCGGUACUACCGCUAGGUCCAGCGGUACUACCGCUCGCCACUGAAACAGCCAUAACUUUCGCAUACGAGCUCCGAAUCGAGCAAACCAAGGCUUGUUGGAUUCAGGACGACAAGAGCUAUCCAAACAGCCUUUCUCAUGGCAAACAUCCUUUAGGAAGUGUACAUAGAUUUAACACUGAACCCCUUUUUUCCCUAGCAUCCACACCUUCAUCAGUCAAUGUGGUGGAGUGGCAAACAUCCAGUAGGCCUUGCCAUUGCACAGCCAAUUCCCCCCGCAAGCAUCUAUGAGAUUGGAGACAUGUCCCUUGAGAGUGAACAACUUAUAAACAAUUGACAGUUUUGCCAAAUGUAAGGUUAUAUAGACUUUUAAAUCUGGAAAUAAUAGAUGGCAUCCAUGUGAUUGGCAAUUAAAACCAUGUUUGCUUAGUUUUGAGUCCGUCUGUUCUCGGUGGUGCGAGCUCAUGCUGCAUUUUGAGAUUGUGUACAUAAGAUGGUAAGACUGUUUGUAGGAGGAACUGGCUAGAGCCAUGGAUAUCUUAAGGUGGAGAAACAAGUAAACAUCCAUGGAUACCAGCUAAGGGAAUGUAAUGGAAGAUAAUCCAUGGAUACCAGCUAAGGGAAUGUAAUGGAAGAUAAAUUCUACAUAGUUUGCCAUGGAUUUUCAGUCAUGUCCUAAGCCACAUAUACUCUAUGUGCCCCCUGGCUUUCUGUUGGGCCUUGUAUAUUUGGUUUCUGGGAAGUACCGAGUUAGAAGAAAACUGUGCUAAGUGCUUACCUAGCAUAUAUUACCAGCCAUCCUCGUUAAGUGAAGUGCCAUUUGGA
This 4243-nucleotide long non-coding RNA is filed under the name Hordeum vulgare. RNAcentral describes it as "long non-coding RNA (HVUL_LNC007598)". Lineage: Eukaryota; Viridiplantae; Streptophyta; Magnoliopsida; Poales; Poaceae. The record is from RNAcentral.